UGCUAUGUGGCAAGAAGGAAAACGGGUU
Molecule: non-coding RNA, 28 nt
Filed under: Homo sapiens (human)
Lineage: Eukaryota; Metazoa; Chordata; Mammalia; Primates; Hominidae
Source: RNAcentral